CGUAUCAUUAACCGUUUUAUAACACGAUAAAAGUGUUAAAAUUAAGAAUCUGAAUAAAUGUAUAAAAGCUACGUUAUUGCUUAAAUAAAUAUGUAUAAGGAUAGCAUAUAGAAUAUCCUCUUCAUUAGCAGAAAGUACCCAGUUAUACCAAAGCGAAUCAGUUUUUCGUUAGGAAAAUAACCACCCACACCCACCCACACACACACACCCACCCACCCACCCACCCACAGACACAAAAGUACAACUCUAAAACGAGAUUAAAAUGUUUCCUACUUGCUGAUUUUAAAUUAGAAUUAAAAGAGAUGACUUAAAUCCCUUGAUUGACAUCAGCCAUGCCAGAACAGGAGGAAACGUUGAUAUUCCAACAUGUUUAAAAAAGGUUAAUGGAAGAAGGAGUAAAAGAAGCAGCAAGCCCGAGAUGAAGGUAGAAAACGUUAUCCAGUUGUUCAGCCGAAGAUUUAUUAUAGAUUUCAGUGUCAUAUAAAAGAGAGAACUGAUUUAGUUAUAAUUUCUCUGCGGGGGCUUGCAGACAGAGGAAACAAAUCGAUAUUUCUAGAAUGAAGAUCCUUUCCUCUGUUCUCCAGCAUUAAAAAAAGUUAGCUAAUCUUUCACUGGAAGCCUUGCCAUUGAUUUUUAUAUGCCAUUAAAAAAAGAACUUAUUUAGCUAUAAUGUAUGUAUUUCUACUGUGUGAAUACGCUGAGGAGGCAGACUGUCACUUAAUUAAGCUUUUCCGUACAAUAUAAGUAGAACUAAAUUUCUCAGCAUUCUAAAUUUAAUCCUGCACUAUAAUGUGCAACCUAUUUUCAAAACUAAUCUAUUUGCUCAGGGGCUCAGUCUCAGAUUUUCAGUGAAGCAUGCAACAUACUUACCGGUAGGAUUGAGCUCUAACUAUUUUUUCAUUUAGUUUCUGUGCAUCUCCUUAUCUGGGUUCUUGUGUGUGCCCUGCAAUGUGAUAUUUCAGUCUGGGAGUAGUCAGGAAUUCUUGCCUUAUCAGCUUUCUUGGAUGCCUAGCUGUUGUUUGCGCAUAAGCUAAGAUUUCAAUACACAACCUGAUUUUUCCUAGCUAGAUAGAUCUCUCUAUAUCUAUCUAUAAAUAUAGAGAUUGAUAGAUCUAUACAGUACAGUCAAAUCCCACCGGAAAGAAGAUUAGUAAAAUUAUUGAGAAAUAAUGGUUUCUGUAGGAGGUAAAAAACUCCACCAGUACUUUUUGGUCGGAUGGUUUGCCUUCUGAAGAACUCUUUAAACCCGUAAAAGAUGAAACGAGCCAUGAAGCAUCAUCCCACUGAAUUAAAAUAGGGCCCUGCUUCUCCCUUAUAUAACAGGAUAUUGAAAUUCCUCUGAAGUACAUGCAUUAGGAGGAAAUCAUUUCUGCAAACCUAAAACUUUAGGGUUUAGUUAUUUCCUGAUCAUUCUGUGGUUUUAGAGGAAAUAAACUGGAUGCUAAUCCUCUUGGAUUUCAUGAGUUGUACCAGCAAACUCUGCUUCAGUUUAUUAGGGAUUCCUCAGUGAGGAAUAAGGUCAUGGCCUGGCAUGUAACUGAGAUAAAGUAGUAUGUAUGAACAGAGACGUGUCUAACAAGAGGAAGCAGCUUAAAAAUGGCUAGGAAUGAUAUAUUUCCUUGUCUAAGAAAAGCAUAAGGCAACCAGCAAUUUUAAUAUGAAAUUCUGAAUAAAUGUUGGUUGAUUGAUUGAUUUUAAUAUUUUGGUAUGACUUCAGUACUUUCAGCCCUGAACUUCAAAGUGCUUCACAAAAGCAGAAAAGCAUUCCAUCAGUAGGUCAAAUGAGGCCUAGCAAGGUUAAAAUGACUCGCCGGAGGUUUUUCAGGAAGUCAAAGUCCAAACGAGGGUUAUAAACUUGGUUUCCUGGCACGUCCCCUUGCUCAAGCUACUAGGCCGGAGUGGUGGGAUCAAGUGACACCUGGCAGGCAGAACACAGGCAGCAUCACCUCUGUGGUGUGACCAUUCAAACACACUUGCAGAAAUGACAAGGUUAUGGUUUUGGUCCAGAAAGGCACUUUUGGCAGUUUCUCCAGAAUGAGUGACUGCUCUUAUUCGGACACAGUAACAUUUUAGCCAGCGAGCAAUGCUCAGAGUAAUUACAUUUUUCAGUACUGAAGUUCUAGCAUCUGCAUGUUGUUCUACUGAAAUGCGAAACAUCAGUCUCCAGGAUAUCCUAGGAACGCCUGUAGCUUGCCAAAUGUAUUAACUAGCUCUGUUAGCUACUGCAUACUCAGUUACACCUUUCCAAAAUGGCAAGACCAAGGUAAUAGGACCACUGGUCCAUGAAAUCUAAUAGCCUUCUCACACACUGGCCUUGCAGAGAACCUUCAACCCCUCCCAAGUACACUUAUUAGGCAGUUUUUCAAAGCCAUGCGAAAAUGACAACUUUUUCCUGACUCCGGGGUGCCACUAACUUAGGCCUUGGAGCACAUGCUCCCCUUGUUCUUGCUGUUACAGCCUGUACAUUAUUUAUACUUACAAAUUAUGUCACUUUGUGCACUUUGAACCAAAGUCUUCCCAGAAAGAAAGCAAAGGGGGGUGGGGGGGGAAGCAGAUUCAAAUUAGAUUUGAUUUACAUUUGUUCAAUCUAUAACAUUGCCAAGCUUCUUGAGUUGGCCAUCCUAGGAAGUUGGCUGUCAUGCUACAUGUUGUUUGUAUAUACACAUGUACACACACAGAUGUACAACACAGUUGGGACAAAUCAUUUAGUUCUACAAACCCUAAGAAGAAUAAAUUGGUCAUGCUAUUUGAUCUCAUCUGCCAGCAGCCAUUUCUUCCCUUAGUAAGAGCCAAGUGAGGCAAAUCCAGAUGUCCCGCUGCAGUCACGCGCUGUACUUACGUAGACCCUGACGAGCCAAUCAAUACAACAACCUCACUCUUAUAAGAGUUUCUGUAACAAUCUCAAUCUGGGAUUUAGGAGCUUAGUGGUAUUUUCAUUUUUGUACCUCGGAGAGCAUUACUAGCAGUCAGAGAAGUACAAGAUUUCAUUAAAGACAACUCAUCUUUUAUAAAUCAGCUGAAGAGAACUGCUAGUCUCCAAAUGUUAGUUUUGGUGUUUACUUUAAUAGCAUCUUACAUGUUGCAUUACAGUGGUCUCAUUGUUCCUUUUUUUUCUUAUUUUCCUUACAAUGCACAUGUCCGGGACUGGAAGGCCAUGUGAGGAAGGGAAGAAAGUACCAAAUUUGGCAAUAUUCAUUUUCUAGCUUCAGUUAACAACAUCCACAGAUCCUACAUGGAUGUUACCUUGCUGCUUGGGAGGGGAAUCCUACCAACCCUGUAUCUGAUGACACUCUGGGCCAAAACUAUUCUCCACUCUUGUGUCCCAUCCACUAGUCUUCAUGUCCACCUCACAAGUAAAAAGCUGUGUUCAGCCUGUCUGGGUAGAAAGCCAUUGCACUCCUUUUUAUACAUGAGUCCCACCUCAGCUCUGUUCUCUCUACUGAAGUAUCACUGCACCAGCACCUCGGCCCAUUGAGUAUGAAAUACUGUACAGUUUUAAGCAAGAGCCCGCAGGACAGCCACUUCCCUUGUGCAAGGAGAGAGGAGGAUUCCAGUGCAGCAUUGCGGAAAACCAGUUUCUUCCAAGCAGCGCUCCAGGACGCCCAAAGCAUGACCCUAGCCGGCGAGCAUGAUACCAUCCACAGAGGGUGCCAACGCGGCAAACUUUUUCAAAGGGCCAGAGCUGAGGCUCAAUCCCGCAUCCCCACACUGUUGAGAUGGCUCUUGAAUCCAACACUGAAGCCUUUACAGUUUGCCAGCACAGCAGCGCUCCUCGCAGAAAGAGGAAGGCUUCGUUGCAAAUACAGUGGAAACGCUGAACCAAAUCUCAGCUAUAAUUGGUGAACAGUGACAUUGUCCCUAAUUGGGGAAAAUGAUAAUCCCUAGCAAGUAACUGAAUUGUCAGGGAAGGCUAAUAUUUAGGUUAUUCCACCAAAAGAUACAAAACUGCAUGGUAUAUUCACCUUUGUCCAGACAGGUUUUGGAAGUAGGAAUAUUCAAAUUGCAUUUGCUAAUUCAAGGUGUUUGUCAGUAUAGCCUCUGGCAGAUAUCUACAUCUACCCACAGACAGAAACUGUGUUAAGGUCAGAGUGCCCUUAGUUGCCCCUGACUGCCCCACGCAGAGCUGACUGGCACGGUUCGGAACCUGCCUACGGCUGUAGCAGACCCCUGGGCUGGAAACAAGUACCACUGUGACGAAGCUAUUUUGUUUCCAACAUUUAGAUACUAUUACAGUGCAUUAAUAUUAAUAUUUUGAAAAAUGGAUGGAUGCCUUUUUGGAAACAAUGUUGAUAGCUUGAAAAAGACUAAAAUGGUUACCCUACUUUCAUAUAUUUUAUUAUAUGAGAAAUCUUGGUUUUAAACGAAUCGGAAUGGAUUCUUAAAUUUUAAACAGUCUAUGAUGUACUACUAGAUGGGUGUAUCCCAACGUGAGGAAAGGUAUAUUUUAUUUUUAUGUGAAUGCUGUUUUAGUCUGCAAUGCAAGCUGCUGGAUGUUCUUAAAUCUGUAAGCUAGGAUGGAGGAAAAAAGCAUUCUCUUGUGCGAGUCAGAAUCACAUUUUUAAGUUCUGUUUUGAAAGCCUAUCAAUUUCUUUUGAUACUGGUAAUUCUCAAUAAUAAAAUGAUUUUUUUCCAAAGAGA
This is a long non-coding RNA of Alligator sinensis (Chinese alligator), 4638 nucleotides long. RefSeq lists it as uncharacterized. Lineage: Eukaryota; Metazoa; Chordata; Crocodylia; Alligatoridae. The record is from RefSeq and is a predicted model, not a curated record. The transcript is spliced from 2 exons.